Molecule: ribosomal RNA, 378 nt
Filed under: uncultured eukaryote
Lineage: Eukaryota
Description: SSU rRNA
Rfam family: Eukaryotic small subunit ribosomal RNA
Source: RNAcentral
AGCUCCAAUAGCGUAUAUUAAAGUUGUUGCAGUUAAAAAGCUCGUAGUUGGAUUUCGGGGCGGCCUGGCCGGUCCGUCGCGAGACGAGCACUGGUCAGCCGCCCUUCCUCUCGAAAGCCCCGACUGCUCUUGACUGCAGUGGUCGGGUAGUUCGGGACGUUUACUUUGAAAAAAUUAGAGUGUUCAAGGCAGGCUGUGGCCUGAAUACAUUAGCAUGGAAUAAUGGAAGAGGACCUCGGUCCUAUUUUGUUGGUUUCUGGGGCCGAAGUAAUGAUUGAGAGGGACAGUUGGGGGCAUUCGUAUUUAAUUGUCAGAGGUGAAAUUCUCGGAUUUAUGAAAGACGAACAACUGCGAAAGCAUUUGCCAAGGAUGUUUUCA